GACGAACGCUGGCGGCGUGCUUAACACAUGCAAGUCGAACGGAAAGGCCCUGCUUUUGUGGGGUGCUCGAGUGGCGAACGGGUGAGUAACAUGUGAGUAACCUUCCCUUUACUUUGGGAUAACUUCAGGAAACUGGGGCUAAUACCGGCUAGGAGCUCCUGCUGCAUGGUGGGGGUUGGAAAGUUUCGGCGGUUGGGGAUGGACUCGCGGCUUAUCAGCUUGUUGGUGGGGUAGUGGCUUACCAAGGCUUUGACGGGUAGCCGGCCUGAGAGGGUGACCGGCCACAUUGGGACUGAGAGACGGCCCAGACUCCUACGGGAGGCAGCAGUGGGGAAUAUUGCACAAUGGGCGGAAGCCUGAUGCAGAAACGCCGCGUGCGGGAUGACGGCCUUCGGGUUGUAAACCGCUUUCGCCUGUGACGAAGCGUGAGUGACGGUAAUGGGUAAAGAAGCACCGGCUAACUACGUG
RNAcentral lists this ribosomal RNA (468 nucleotides) under uncultured bacterium. RNAcentral describes it as "partial 16S ribosomal RNA". It matches the Rfam family "Bacterial small subunit ribosomal RNA", at positions 28 to 507 of the family's 1533-position model. The record is from RNAcentral.